RNAcentral lists this antisense RNA (195 nucleotides) under Buttiauxella agrestis ATCC 33320. RNAcentral describes it as "Yersinia sRNA 276". It matches the Rfam family "Yersinia sRNA 276". The record is from Rfam by way of RNAcentral. Lineage: Bacteria; Pseudomonadati; Pseudomonadota; Gammaproteobacteria; Enterobacterales; Enterobacteriaceae.
GACGGACAUCAGCGAUUCGUUCUGGGAACCAUCCCCUACCGCGAGGUAAGAGUGCAUGCCCAGCUCUUUCAUCUGCUGUUCGCCAAUCACGCGAGUCACUACGUUUUUGCUGAAAGCAUCCGCUAACUGGCGCGCCUGAGAAGCCAGGUACGCAGGAUUACAGAUAUUUGGUGGCAUAUUGCCCAAAUCUUUCGC